Molecule: long non-coding RNA, 491 nt
Filed under: Homo sapiens (human)
Lineage: Eukaryota; Metazoa; Chordata; Mammalia; Primates; Hominidae
Description: PLCXD2 antisense RNA 1
Source: RNAcentral
AUGAUGGCCCCCAUUUCCCAAAUGCCUACUAUAUUUCAGGAUUUCUCAGCAAGGACUGGUAGAACUUGACUUGACUGCCAGCUUUUAUCUGGACCGGACUUCACAAAGCAGGGUGAAAGAAUUUGCAUGAUCUCCAUGGUGGCUAAUCAUAUAAUUUCCAGUUUCAGCAGCUGGCACCAGCUAUUUGCUCCCCCGCUACCCAAGCAAUUCUAGUAACUGUGAGAUAUCCUAUGAAUCACAGAACAAAUGCCCAACUCCUUUCUACAGUCACGGGGUCAGAGUACACAGCCAACCCACUAGCAGAGCUGGAGUUAUGGUUUGAGCCAAAGUACAACAAGGAAGGAGGAAGCCCCAACCUACCCCGGACAUGCCCUGAAUGACACAGCCAUUUAGGGCCUGCCAAAGAUGCCAUUCUGUUUGCAAACACAUAUUACCUGCCAUAUCACUCAACAAAAUAAUUCCAUCAGAAGGCCUGAAGGCAAAUGACUAAU